RNAcentral lists this ribosomal RNA (301 nucleotides) under uncultured bacterium. RNAcentral's name for it is "partial 16S ribosomal RNA". It matches the Rfam family "Bacterial small subunit ribosomal RNA", at positions 509 to 807 of the family's 1533-position model. The record is from RNAcentral.
CAGCCGCCGCGGUAAAACAGAGGAUGCAAGCGUUAUCCGGAAUGAUUGGGCGUAAAGCGUCUGUAGGUGGCUUUUCAAGUCCGCCGUCAAAUCCCAGGGCUCAACCCUGGACAGGCGGUGGAAACUACCAAGCUGGAGUACGGUAGGGGCAGAGGGAAUUUCCGGUGGAGCGGUGAAAUGCGUAGAGAUGUGGAGGAACACCAGUGGCGAAGGCGACUCUCUGGUCUGUAACUGACGCUGAGGAGCGAAAGCGUGGGGAGCGAACAGGAUUAGAUACCCGAGUAGUCCCUGUCUCUUAUAC